CUUAGCAACUUUCACUUGCUGGCAUCAUCUCGUGCCAAGAACAGUGAGGAUGCUCUGAGAGACCCAGUGGCUACUUUCUUCUGGUGUCACAUGAGAGGGGAAGGGGCCUGUGCGUACUCUUACCUUGCAAAUCUUGAAGGCCUGUAACUGUGAUUGCUGGGGUCCCAAGGCCUGCGGGAGCCCAAGAAGUGCACUGCCUUUAAUGGUUCUUCUCUAGGACUUCCAUCCAAGUGACUGUUGCCCGUCUUGCCGGAAGGCUCAGUGACACGUGUGUGAAAGUUCUCCUGUGACAGAGCACUGCCGUCCUACCAGGCUUCCGGCACCCAGAGCCCUCUGGCUCGGCU
Prionailurus viverrinus (fishing cat) is the source of this 344-nucleotide long non-coding RNA. RefSeq lists it as uncharacterized. The record is from RefSeq and is a predicted model, not a curated record. Lineage: Eukaryota; Metazoa; Chordata; Mammalia; Carnivora; Felidae. The transcript is spliced from 3 exons.